This 1523-nucleotide long non-coding RNA is filed under the name Parus major (Great Tit). RNAcentral describes it as "lncRNA (ENSPMJG00000012850.1)". Lineage: Eukaryota; Metazoa; Chordata; Aves; Passeriformes; Paridae. The record is from RNAcentral.
CCCUUUUCAGCCUUUGAAUAUGCAGUGGCAGCUGUAGUGACAUUAAGAUGCUGCUCCAGGAGACAGAUGCAACCCAGAGUCCGUAGCCAGCCCUGCAUGCCAUGGUGUUCCUCCAGGGACCCCAAGGUCUCCCACCUUGUUGUGUAAAGUUUUCAAGGAGACACUCCUCAAGCUACAGUGGUGAUGUGGGAGUCCUCCCUGGAAAAACUUUGGCUCCAUGGCUUGGUUGUAGCCAGAGACAGCAGCAGCCAGCCCCUCUCAUUGCAGCAGGAAGAUCCAUUUGCCAUGGGAGAGGAGGGACUGCAGGACGGCUGCCAAGCUCUGUCUGGCCUUCCAGGGUGGCACUAGCUGCCAUUGCCAAACUCUCCCUUGCUGAGCAGACCUGCGGAAAGGCUGCUCCUGAAACUGCCCAUGCCCUCCAGCUCCAACCCAGCCCUGAGCCCUUUGGGGUACAGUUGUGGACCACACACAGAGCACUGCCUCAAGACAUUCCCAAGGACCAAGCCAAAGGAGAAAAGGGAUGUUUCUGCUCAAUUUUCCGCUCUCUGUUCAUUGUGCAGAGGCAGCAUGGUAAGCUUGCUCCAUGAAAUCGCCACCUACACCCUGAACCUUUCUCCUUACUUCCUCUCAGUCCCACAGGCAUUGCUCUCUACCCUUUCCAUUGUGGACCACUUAACAUUUCAUGGACCAAUCCACAGCAAAAAAAGUAACUUGAAUUUCUUAUAAGGUUGAUGCAGUCCCCCAAAUUUACUUCUUCCACUGUGAAUCAACCAUCACUGAAGGCCUUGGAACAAAAAGUGCCCAAGAGAUAUUUUGCAAUCUUCUAUUGGUGCAGGGUAUUUCCCAGAUAAGAUUUCUCCUGAGGAAAAAAAGGUACAAGCCAGGAACAUAAAUUAAUUCACAACAGACAAUUUAUUAAGGCAACAACAAGCCAUUGGAACCCUUUCAUGAGCCUCCAUGACUCGUGUCUAAACAGGCUGAUAAAGUGAUUCAUCCUGCAGGAGAGUUGUCUAAAUAUGCUGCUGCUAUCACACUUCCUGCCCCAGAAGAGCCACUCCAAUGGCCUUUCUCAUCCUAAGAGACACCAGUCAUCCAGACAAGGGGCAAUACAAGUUCCUUCACACUUGCAAGCUUGACAGUAAGCAGACUGACACUACAAUGCAGAUGGAUAAAACCAAAUCAAAAGGAUGCCCUUUACAACUGCUCUAGGUGAUGGCAGGGGGAGGAGAAGGAGGGCAGAGGUAACUGGGCUCACUCCUGUGCUUUUAUUUGAAUGAGCCUUUUGUCUUUACACUUCACAGUUCCCUGUGAAAUCAUUCCACACAAACUUAGGGCAUCAUCCAACAGAUUUUAUUUGGUCAUGGAGACAUUUAAUAAUUAGUAGCAAUACCACAGCUGGGUAUAUCUGUAUCUAUACAGAAUCUAUAGCUAAAACAUGAAUGCUUUUGACAUAUGUAUUAUUUUCAAGAGGUGGAAAGAUGAUACCUAUUUUAUCUCUGUUGUAGAGGAAAAGAGAAAAAGGA